RNAcentral lists this ribosomal RNA (433 nucleotides) under uncultured bacterium. RNAcentral describes it as "partial 16S ribosomal RNA". It matches the Rfam family "Bacterial small subunit ribosomal RNA", at positions 29 to 507 of the family's 1533-position model. The record is from RNAcentral.
AGCGAACGCUGGCGGCAGGCCUAACACAUGCAAGUCGAACGAACUCUUCGGAGUUAGUGGCGGACGGGUGAGUAACACGUGGGAACGUGCCUUUUGGUUCGGAAUAACUCAGGGAAACUUGUGCUAAUACCGAAUGUGCCCUUCGGGGGAAAGAUUUAUCGCCAUUAGAGCGGCCCGCGUCUGAUUAGCUAGUUGGUGAGGUAACGGCUCACCAAGGCGACGAUCAGUAGCUGGUCUGAGAGGAUGACCAGCCACACUGGGACUGAGACACGGCCCAGACUCCUACGGGAGGCAGCAGUGGGGAAUCUUGCGCAAUGGGCGAAAGCCUGACGCAGCCAUGCCGCGUGAACGAUGAAGGUCUUAGGAUUGUAAAAUUCUUUCACCGGGGACGAUAAUGACGGUACCCGGAGAAGAAGCCCCGGCUAACUUCGUG